AUAGCGUAUAUUAAAGUUGUUGAGGUUAAAAAGCUCGUAGUUGAACCUUGGGCCUAGCCGGCCGGUCCGCCUCACCGCGUGCACUGGCUCGGUUGGGCCUUUCCUUCUGGAGAACCCCAUGCCCUUCACUGGGUGUGGUGGGGAACCAGGACUUUUACUCUGAACAAAUUAGAUCGCUUAAAGAAGGCCUAUGCUCGAAUAUAUUAGCAUGGAAUAAUAGAAUAGGACGUGUGGUUCUUUUUUGUUGUUUUCUAGGACCGCCGUAAUGAUUAAUAGGGACAGUCGGGGGCAUCAGUAUUCAAUUGUCAGAGGUGAAAUUCUUGGAUUUAUUGAAGACUAACUACUG
RNAcentral lists this ribosomal RNA (346 nucleotides) under uncultured eukaryote. RNAcentral describes it as "SSU rRNA". It matches the Rfam family "Eukaryotic small subunit ribosomal RNA", at positions 594 to 945 of the family's 1831-position model. The record is from RNAcentral.